RNAcentral lists this long non-coding RNA (331 nucleotides) under Citrus sinensis (sweet orange). RNAcentral's name for it is "long non-coding RNA (CSIN_LNC003536)". Lineage: Eukaryota; Viridiplantae; Streptophyta; Magnoliopsida; Sapindales; Rutaceae. The record is from RNAcentral.
AAUAAAGUGGCUGUAUGAUUUGUAGCACCACUAUCAAUGAUCCAAUUCAUUGAAUUAAAAUUUUGCAAGGUGGAUGAUAAACAAAAAGGAGUAGAGAUACUUGGAUAAUUUGCACGAGGAUGAUUUUCACUGUUUCUGAAGAAGGCUUUAAUUUGUGACAAUUCUUCAGGAGUAAAUUAAAGUGAUGAAUCAAAUGUUUGAACUGCCUUUAUGGAUGCUUGAGAGGAUUCAGUUCCUAUUUGAUUUGAAGCAAAUUUACGGAUUCGAUUUGGUGGUUGAACAUCCUUUCCAUGAAACUUGUGUCCAACAGGAAAACCAAUCAAAUAGUAAC